This 1128-nucleotide ribosomal RNA is filed under the name Mycoplasma mycoides. RNAcentral describes it as "partial 23S ribosomal RNA". It matches the Rfam family "Bacterial large subunit ribosomal RNA", at positions 1 to 1132 of the family's 2925-position model. Lineage: Bacteria; Bacillati; Mycoplasmatota; Mollicutes; Mycoplasmatales; Mycoplasmataceae. The record is from RNAcentral.
UAAAAAAAUAGUAAGAGCAUAUGGUGAAUGCCUUGGAAAAUGGAGCCGAAGAAGGACGUGACUACCUGCGAUAAGUCUGGGGGAGCUGGAAGUGAGCUUCGAUCCCGGAAUUUCCGAAUGGGGAAACCUGACAUGAUUUAUCUCAUGUUAUCUAUAAGUAAAUACAUAGCUUAUAAGAAGGGAACCUAGGGAACUGAAACAUCUUAGUACCUAGAGGAAAAGAAAAUAAUAAUGAUUCUGUUAGUAGCGGCGAGCGAAAACGGAACAGGCCAAACCACUUUACGGAGUGGGGUUGUAGGACUUUUGUUCGAGUUAGAAAGUCAUUAUAUAAUAGAAGCUACUGGGAAGUAGCGCCAUAGAGGGUGAUAGCCCCGUAUAUGAAAUGUAAUGACCUCAAAAAAGUAUCCUGAGUACGGCGAAACACGUGAAAUUUUGUCGGAAUCUGCCAAGACCACUUGGUAAGCCUAAAUACUACCAUUUUACCGAUAGUGAACCAGUACCGUGAGGGAAAGGUGAAAAGCACCCCGAAAGGGGAGUGAAAUAGUCCCUGAAACCAUAUGCUUACAAGAAGGUAGAGCCCGUUAAUGGGUAAUACCGUGCUUUUUGUAGAAAGAGCCGGCGAGUUACUAUUGCAUGCAAGGUUAAGUUGAUAUAAACGGAGCCGAAGUGAAAGCGAGCCUUAAUAGGGCGUUUAGUAUGCAGUAGUAGACACGAAACCAGGUGAUCUAGCCAUGAGCAGGUUGAAGUUAGGGUAAAACCUAAUGGAGGACCGAACCAGUAUUCGUUGAAAAGACUUUGGAUGACUUGUGGCUAGCGGUGAAAUUCCAAUCGAACCUGGAGAUAGCUAGUUCUCCCCGAUAUAUCUUUAAGGAUAGCGUUGUGUGAAUUGUUGUGGAGGUAGAGCACUGAAUCUAUGAUGGCUGCACCUAGCGGUACUGAUUAGAAUUAAACUCCGAAUGCCAUAAUUUGUGCACAGCAGUCAGAACAUGGGUGAUAAGGUUCAUGCUCGUGAGGGAAACAGCCCAGAUCGUCAGCUAAGGUCCCUAAGUGUAAACUAAGUGUGUAAGGAUGUGGAACUGCACAGACAGCUAGGAUGUUGGCUUAGAAGCAGCCAUCAUUUAAAGAGUG